CCUCUGAAACCUCCCACGCCGCAUCUUCUCUUCUCGCUUCCCCGCUGCCAUGCGCCAACCCCGCCGUCACCCGUCGAUCCGGCUGCGGCGCUGCGCACUUCCACCCUCGUUGCCCUCCCUGGUCCAGCAACGUCACCUGCUCCCUUCAACUCCCAUCUCGAUCUUCAUGGCCCUCAAAUCUAGCAGCCCUCGGCCACGACGCUGCCGGAUCUGGUCGGCUUGGCCUCGUCGCCCCAACCAAUAGGUGCUCGACGCCACUCCUCAGGAUUCAGGAACGCAGUGGUCUUCUUCGUCAGCUUUAUAUCCCUCCACUUCCUACGCCAUGUAUCGGCCAUCUACCCUUUCUUGAAGCUCCUCCUCAUCCAAGUGGCCACCUGAUGUUGCCGAGUGGACCAUGCUCACUCGCGCCUUCGCCCACCAGUACCAGGUUUGGUCGCCACUUCCUUUGCGCAAUUCGUCGAGCAGGUCAUCUGUGUGGCGUAUGUGUGCUGUUGUAAUGGAUGGCUUGUUUUCUGGUGGUUGAGGUGCAGGAUUUUCUCGUAUAUUUCAAGUUGAAUACCGGGGAGAUGGUGCCAUGGCGGGCUACUAUGGUGGUGGCAGUUGGGACUAUCUGAAGAGCAAUAAUGUAAUGCUUUUGAGCUUAGGUACAUGAAGUCAUAUUUGAAAGCGGACGAGAUGAUGUUUGUCAACACGAAACUGAAAAGGGAUGUGAAACAGUACUGGAGGAAUCGUGAUCUAUGGCAAGGGUGAUGAUGUCUAUGGCGAUGAUUGUCAUGAUCUAUAUGGCGAUGAGCGUUAUAAUCCAUGAAGGGUGAUGAGUCUAAUGAUCUUUCUUCAGGACAUGCAACAAAGUGAACUUCUGAAGUUUUGGUCAAUUUUAGCUUAGGCAUAAUGCUUGGACCAUUAUAUAUUAGUUACUAUUUUGUUUUGCAUUCCAAACUUCCUAGAUAGAUCAUGAUGAACAGUGUAA
Long non-coding RNA from Triticum dicoccoides, 970 nucleotides. RefSeq lists it as uncharacterized. Lineage: Eukaryota; Viridiplantae; Streptophyta; Magnoliopsida; Poales; Poaceae. The transcript is spliced from 3 exons. The record is from RefSeq and is a predicted model, not a curated record.